AACGCACAUUGCGCCCCGUGGUAUUCCGCGGGGCAUGCCUGUUCGAGCGUCAUUUCACCACUCAAGCCUGGCUUGGUAUUGGGCGUCGCGGCCUCCGCGCGCCUCAAAGUCUCCGGCUGAGCAGUCCGUCUCCGAGCGUUGUGACAUUUUCGCUAGGGAGUUCGCGUCUGCCGCGGCCGUUAAAUCAUUAACACCAAAGGUUGACCUCGGAUCAGGUAGGGAUACCCGCUGAACUUAA
This 238-nucleotide unclassified non-coding RNA is filed under the name uncultured fungus. RNAcentral's name for it is "partial contains 5.8S ribosomal RNA, internal transcribed spacer 2, and large subunit ribosomal RNA". The stretch from base 1 to 52 matches the Rfam family "5.8S ribosomal RNA", at positions 103 to 154 of the family's 154-position model. RNAcentral also lists the same sequence under 1 other name. Lineage: Eukaryota; Fungi. The record is from RNAcentral.